UGACAGCCAGGAUGUUGGCUUAGAAGCAGCCACCAUUUAAAAAGUGCGUAACAGCUUACUGGUCGAGCAAUUUUGCGCCGAUAAUGAACGGGAGUUAAGUUUUACACCGAAGCAGUGGGAUCCACUUUGUGGAUCGGUAGGAGAGCGCUGUACGUCAGAUACAAGUCGCACCGAAAGGAGCGAUGGUGGGGCGUACAGGUGAUUAUGCCGGAAUGAGUAACGAUAAAGCAGGUGAGAAUCCUGCUCGCCGAAAGCCUAAGGUUUCCUGGGGAAGGUAAAUCCGCCCAGGGUUAGCCGGUUCCUUAGUCGAGGCCGAAAGGCGUAGACGAUGGAUAGCAGGUCAACAUUCCUGCGCCACAUGCCGGACUGAUGGAGGGACGGCGUCUGAAAGGUGAGGGGACGGAUAGAAAUGUCCCUCGCCUGUGUGGAGGGUAGCUGUAGGCAAAUCCGCAGCGACAUCCUGAAGCAUGGGACAAAGACGUUUAUGUUUCGAUAGUCACCAGAAGGACGUCCAAGAAAAGCUUCUAGGGUUGAUGGCAUGUGACCGUACUAAAACUGACACAGGUAGGCGGGACGAGAAGUCCUAGGCGCUCGGGAGAACACUGGUUAAGGAACUCUGCAAAAUGGCCCCGUAAGUUCGCGAUAAGGGGUGCCCUCUUUGGUUUACGCUGAGGAGGGUCACAGUAAAUCGGCAUCAGCGACUGUUUAUCAAAAACACAGGACUCUGCUAACUCGCAAGAGGAUGUAUAGAGUCUGACGCCUGCCCGGUGCUGGUAGGUUAAGGAAGAGGGUUAGCCGUAAGGCGAAGCUCGCGACCGAAGCCCCAGUAAACGGCGGCCGUAACUAUGACGGUCCUAAGGUAGCGAAGUUCCUUGUCGGGUAAGUUCCGACCUGCAUGAAAGGCGUAACGACUGAUGCACUGUCUCAACCAGUGACCCGGUGAAAUUGUAGCCGUGGUGAAGAUGCCACGUACCCGCAGUAUGACGGAAAGACCCCGUGAACCUUUACUGUAGGCUGAUAUUGGUCUUGGACGUGUUCUGUGUAGGAUAGGUGGGAGGCUUUGAAGCAGUGACGCUAGUCAUUGUGGAGCCAACGUUGAAAUACCACCCUGGAUUCGUUUGAGUUCUAACGCUGAUUCCCGUGAAACCGGGCAGCGGACAGUUUCAGUUGGGCAGUUUGACUGGGGCGGUCUCCUCCCAAAGAGUAACGGAGGAGUUCAAAGGUACCCUCAGCCUGGUUGGCAAUCAGGCAUUGAGCGCAAAGGUAGAAGGGUGCUUGACUGCGAGACUCAUAAGUCGAGCAGAUACGAAAGUAGGACUUAGUGAUCCGGUGGUUCUGAAUGGAAGGGCCAUCGCUCAUCAGAUAAAAGGUACUCCGGGGAUAACAGGCUUAUCGCUUCCGAGCGUCCAUAGCGGCGAAGCGGUUUGGCACCUCGAUGUCGGCUCAUCACAUCCUGGGGGUGGAGAAGCUCCCAAGGGUUUGGCUGUUCGCCAAUGAAAGUGGUACGUGAGCUGGGUUCAGACCGUCGUGAGACAGGUCGGUCCCUAUCUGCUGUGGGCGUACGAAACUUGCGAGGAUUCUUCUUUAGUACGAGAGGAUUUGGAAGGACGUUCCUCUGGUGUACCAGUUGUCGCGCUAGCGGCACGGCUGGAUAGCUAAGAACGGAAAGGAUAAACGCUGAAAGCAUAUAAGCGUGAAGCCCGCCUCAAGAUCAGGUUUCGUAGGGUUUAUACCCGAAAGUCCCCUGAAAGACGAUCAGGUUAAUAGGCCGGAUGUGUACGUGCAGUAAUGCACUCAGCUAACCGGUACUAACGGACGAUUGCUUGACCAC
Molecule: ribosomal RNA, 1831 nt
Filed under: marine metagenome
Description: bacterial LSU rRNA
Rfam family: Bacterial large subunit ribosomal RNA
Source: RNAcentral